RNAcentral lists this transfer RNA (67 nucleotides) under Jynx ruficollis (rufous-necked wryneck). Its description in RNAcentral is "tRNA-Val". Lineage: Eukaryota; Metazoa; Chordata; Aves; Piciformes; Picidae. The record is from RNAcentral.
ACCUGAAAAACACCUGUUCACAACCAGGUCAUCUUGAAGCCACCCUCUAGCCCAACUAAUAUCUUCA